Molecule: small RNA, 1771 nt
Filed under: Pongo abelii (Sumatran orangutan)
Lineage: Eukaryota; Metazoa; Chordata; Mammalia; Primates; Hominidae
Description: retained intron
Source: RNAcentral
GGAGAGACAUGGAAAAUAAGCCCUUCUUCCUUUCUCCCCUGGGGCUUGUGAACAGCUUAGCUAAGAGGCAGAGCUGUGCUGGGGGCCAGUCGUGCUAGGUUCCUAUCCUAGCUUUGCCACUUAUGAGCUGCAUGAUCUUGGAGAAGUCACAUCGCCUCUCUGAGCCUUGGUGCCUUCACCUGCCAAAUGAGAUCAAGUGCUUAGAGCAAUACUUGGCAGAUCAUAAGUACUCAAAAGACAGUGGCUGUGAUUGCUUUCACUAUUUUGCAGCCCAGUAGGACGAGGGCAGUACAUUCUGUGCUGUUGAACCUGUCACCCACUGGGUGAGCAAUAAUGGUACUUCCUUCAGACCAAGGCUUCAAAAUCCUAGGAAAUGUUCUCCAGGGCCCUGAGCCUUACAGGCUCCUGACCUCUGGCCUCCGUCUCCACCAGGAACUGGAGAACCUGAACAAGUGGGGCCUGAACAUCUUUUGCGUGUCGGAUUAUGCCGGAGGCCGCUCGCUCACCUGCAUCAUGUACAUGAUAUUCCAGGAGCGGGACCUGCUGAAGAAAUUCCGCAUCCCUGUGGACACGAUGGUGACAUACAUGCUGACGCUGGAGGAUCACUACCACAUGGAUGUGGCCUACCAUAACAGCCUGCACGCAGCUGACGUGCUGCAGUCCACCCACGUACUGCUGGCCACGCCUGCGCUAGAUGCAGUGUUCACGGACCUGGAGAUUCUCGCCGCCCUCUUCGCGGCUGCCAUCCACGAUGUGGAUCACCCUGGGGUCUCCAACCAGUUCCUCAUCAACACCAAUUCGGAGCUGGCGCUCAUGUACAACGAUGAGUCGGUGCUCGAGAAUCACCACCUGGCCGUGGGCUUCAAGCUGCUGCAGGAGGACAACUGCGACAUCUUCCAGAACCUCAGCAAGCGCCAGCGGCAGAGCCUACGCAAGAUGGUCAUCGACAUGGUGCUGGCCACGGACAUGUCCAAGCACAUGACCCUCUUGGCUGACCUGAAGACCAUGGUGGAGACCAAGAAAGUGACCAGCUCAGGGGUCCUCCUGCUGGAUAACUACUCCGACCGCAUCCAGGUCCUCCGGAACAUGGUGCACUGUGCAGACCUCAGCAACCCCACCAAGCCGCUGGAGCUGUACCGCCAGUGGACAGACCGCAUCAUGGCUGAGUUCUUCCAGCAGGGUGACCGUGAGCGCGAGCGUGGCAUGGAAAUCAGCCCCAUGUGUGACAAGCACACUGCCUCCGUGGAGAAGUCUCAGGUACAGGCUCGGGGCAUUGAUGGACGGGGACAGGGUGGGUUUUAUCGACUACAUUGUGCACCCAUUGUGGGAGACCUGGGCGGACCUUGUCCACCCAGAUGCCCAGGAGAUCCUGGACACUUUGGAGGACAACCGGGACUGGUACUACAGCGCCAUCCGGCAGAGCCCGUCUCCACCACCCGAGGAGGAGUCAAGGGGGCCAGGCCACCCACCCCCGCCUGACAAGUUCCAGUUUGAGCUGACGCUGGAGGAGGAAGAAGAGGAAGAAAUAUCAAUGGCCCAGAUACCAUGCACAGCCCAAGAGGCAUUGAUAGCGCAGGGAUUGUCAGGAGUCAAGGAAGCUCUGGAUGCAACCAUGGCCCGGGAGGCAUCCCCGGCCCAGGAGUCAUUGGAAGUUAUGGCACAGGAAGCAUCCCUGGAGGCCGAGCUGGAGGAAGUGUAUUUGACACAGCAGGCACAGUCCACAGGCAGUGCACCUGUGGCUCAGGAUGACUUCUCGUCCCAGGAGGAAUCC